AGAAAGUCGGAGUCCGGACUGCUGGGGUAAGCUUGUAGUCCGUAAGGGAGACAACCCAGCCCGUGGUUAAGGUCCCCAAGUGUCGACUAAGUGUUAAUACUAAAGGGCGUCCCAAGCCCAAGACAGCUGGAAGGUUAGCUUAGAAGCAGCUACCCUUCAAAGAGUGCGUAACAGCUCACCAGUCGAGGUUUGGGGCCCCGAAAAUUGACGGGGCUCAAGUCGACCACCGAUACCACGGAGUACCGUAAGGUAAUCUCGUAGGAAGGCGUUGCGUUCGGACUGAAGCAGGGCUGUAAAGUCCUGUGGACCGUUCGCAAACGAAAAUCCUGGUAAUAGUAGCAGCAAAGCAGGGUGAGAAUCCCUGCCGCCGAAGGGGCCAGGUUUCCUCGGCAAUGAUCGUCAGCCGAGGGUUAGUCGGUCCUAAGACGUACCGUAACUCGAGUACGCCGAAAGGGAAACAGGUUAAUAUUCCUGUACCAUUUAGCAAACAGUCUGACGUCUCAGGGCAGGCCGAGCGGCGUCGUCGCGCCGUCUAAGCAGCGAAUCCCGUGGAGAGCCGUAAUGGCGAGAAGCGGGCGAAUCUGUUAUGGCUCAAGUCGGCUGCACCCAGGGACCCGUGAAAAGGCCGCUAAAUGUCCGUACCGAGAUCUGACACAGGUGCCCCUAGCUGAAAAGGCUAAGGCGUGUCGGAGUAAUCCAGUUAAGGGAAUUCGGCAAAUUAGCUCCGUAACUUCGGGAUAAGGAGUGCCUGCUGUGAAGACAGCAGGUCGCAGUGACCAGGGGGCUCUAACUGUCUAAUACCAACAUAGGAGAUUGCAAACCCGUAAGGGCUAGUACAAUCUCUGAAUCCUGCUCAGUGCAGGUACCUGAAACCCCGGCUCAACGGGAAGAAGGGCCUGUAAACAGCGGGGGUAACUAUGACCCUCUUAAGGUAGCGUAGUACCUUGUCGCUUAAUUGGCGACUUGCAUGAAUGGAUUAAUGAGAGUCCUACUGUCCCUAACUGGAAUCCGGUGAAGCUUACAUUCUAGUGCACAGUCUAGAGACCUCUAGGGGGAAGUGAAGACCCCGUGGAGCUUUACUGCAGCCUGUCGCUGGGUUGUGGUUCUGGAUGUACAGAGUAGGUAGGAGGCGUCGAAGCGGGUGCGCCAGCAUCCGUGGAGCCACAAUUGGGACACUACCCUUCUGGGACUACGACCCUAACUCUGCGAAGAGGACCCCGAUAGGUGGGCAGUUUGCCUGGGGCGGGACGCCCUUGAAAAGAUAUCAAGGGCGCGCAAUGGUUGACUCAAGUGGGUCGGAAACUCACUGAAGAGUGCAAGAGCAUAAGUCAGCCUGACGUUAUUCAGCAUAGCAGUGGAUGACGAGACGAAAGUCGGCUCUAGCGAACUUUUGAGCCUCCUUGGUGGGGGCCAAAAAUGACAGAAAAGUUACCCCGGGGAUAAUUGAGUCGUUGCCGGCAAGAGUACAUAUCGACCCGGCAGCUUGCUACCUCGAUGUCGGUUCUUUCCAUCCUGGCCGUGCAGCAGCGGCCAAGGGUGAGGUUGUUCGCCUAUUAAAGGAGAUCGUGAGCUGGGUUUAGACCGUCGUGAGACAGGUCGGUUACUAUCUACUAGAGGUGUUUGAGGUCUGCGGGUAAGCUGCUUUUAGUACGAGAGGAACCAAGCAGCGGCGUCUCUGGUGUACCGGUUGUCUGACAAGGCAUCGCCGGGCAGCUACGCGCUUCGGAAUAAGAGCUGAAUGCAUCUAAGCUCGAAAUCUUUCCUAAAAAGAGACCUCAUUAAGGAUUCCGGUAAAAGACCGGUUUGAUAGAAACGGGAUGUAAGCACCAAGGCAACGAGGUGUUCAGUCCGCGUUCACUAAUUAUCCGUUCCUUUCCUA
This 1879-nucleotide ribosomal RNA is filed under the name fermentation metagenome. RNAcentral describes it as "bacterial LSU rRNA". It matches the Rfam family "Archaeal large subunit ribosomal RNA", at positions 1055 to 2987 of the family's 2987-position model. The record is from RNAcentral.